GAAAUGCGAUACGUAGUGCGAAUUGCAGGAUGUAAGCGAGUCAUCGAAUCUUUGAACGCAUAUUGCGCCCGAGGCUCCGGCCGAGGGCAUGUCUGCCUGAGCGUCAGCCGAUACCCUCAACUCCACCUUCUGGGCGGACGUUGGAGCUGGCCGUCCCGCGGGACCGAUUCGUCGGUCGAGCGGGUCGGCUGAAGCGCAGUGGCGCGCCUCGCCCCCGGCUCUUCUCUUCGGGAAGAGGCGGUUCGGACUAUCCGUCGUGGUAAGUGGGAUUCUUCCCGCACCUCUUCCGACGGGUGUUCCGGUAAUCCGGGCGCGGCGUCAGCCGGCGGGAGCCCUCUUUCGCUCCCGCCCCCCACUCUUCACCUUUUGACCUCAGAUCAGGCAAGGCUACCCGCCGAAU
This 400-nucleotide unclassified non-coding RNA is filed under the name uncultured fungus. Its description in RNAcentral is "sequence contains ITS1". The stretch from base 1 to 106 matches the Rfam family "5.8S ribosomal RNA", at positions 50 to 154 of the family's 154-position model. The record is from RNAcentral. Lineage: Eukaryota; Fungi.